CCUACGGGUGGCAGCAGUAGGGAAUUUUGCGCAAUGGGCGAAAGCCUGACGCAGCAACGCCGCGUGAUCGAGACGCCCUUCGGGGUGUAAAGAUCUGUCAGUGGGGACGAAACUUGACGGUACCCACAGAAGAAGCACCGGCUAACUCCGUGCCAGCAGCCGCGGUAAUACGGGGGGUGCAAGCGUUGUCCGGAAUCAUUGGGCGUAAAGCGUUCGUAGGCGGCACGUAAAGUCUGGUGUUAAAGGCAGAGGCUCAACUUCUGUACGGCACUGGAUACUUGCGAGCUAGAAUGCGGUAGAGGUAAAGGGAAGUCCUGGUGUAGCGGUGAAAUGCGUAGAUAUCAGGAGGAACAUCGGUGGCGUAAGCGCUUUACUGGGCCGUAAUUGACGCUGAGGAACGAAAGCCAGGGUAGCAAAUGGGAUUAGAUACCCUUGUAGUC
This 440-nucleotide ribosomal RNA is filed under the name uncultured bacterium. RNAcentral's name for it is "partial 16S ribosomal RNA". It matches the Rfam family "Bacterial small subunit ribosomal RNA", at positions 338 to 795 of the family's 1533-position model. The record is from RNAcentral.